Molecule: ribosomal RNA, 497 nt
Filed under: uncultured bacterium
Lineage: Bacteria
Description: partial 16S ribosomal RNA
Rfam family: Bacterial small subunit ribosomal RNA
Source: RNAcentral
GAUGAACGCUGGCGGCGUGCCUAAUACAUGCAAGUCGAGCGAACAGACGAGGAGCUUGCUCCUCUGACGUUAGCGGCGGACGGGUGAGUAACACGUGGAUAACCUACCUAUAAGACUGGGAUAACUUCGGGAAACCGGAGCUAAUACCGGAUAAUAUAUUGAACCGCAUGGUUCAAUAGUGAAAGACGGUUUUGCUGUCACUUAUAGAUGGAUCCGCGCCGCAUUAGCUAGUUGGUAAGGUAACGGCUUACCAAGGCAACGAUGCGUAGCCGACCUGAGAGGGUGGUCGGCCACACUGGAGCUGGGACACGGUCCAGACGCCUACGGGAGGCAGCAGUAGGGAAUCUUCCGCAAUGGGCGAAAGCUUGACGGAGCAACGCCGCGUGAGUGAUGAAGGUCUUCGGAUCGUAAAACUCUGUUAUUAGGGAAGAACAAAUGUGUAAGUAACUAUGCACGUCUUGACGGUACCUAAUCAGAAAGCCACGGCUAACUACGUG